RNAcentral lists this long non-coding RNA (749 nucleotides) under Canis lupus familiaris (dog). RNAcentral describes it as "lncRNA (ENSCAFG00000054902.1)". Lineage: Eukaryota; Metazoa; Chordata; Mammalia; Carnivora; Canidae. The record is from RNAcentral.
CUGUCCGUGAGGUACGUCGGCCUCGUGCCCUGAGGAGAAACUGGAGACGCCGGUCUCUGCUCUCUCCCGCCGCUACGAUGCCGCGCCGGGUCCUGCCAGCCUUUGCGCGAGGAGUGUGAGCGGGAACGGCCCCGACCUGCCCCUCAGAAGCCUGAAACCGAGGCAAUACUAAAGCAAAAGUCUGAUUUCAGCCGUCUCCGCCCCUCAGAGAUUCUCUUUCAACUCCCUCCAGUUUCCUUCCUCAGCCAGAUUUGCUACGACUCUUCACAUCAAAUGAAGCAAAAGAUUGCUGUAGAGAGCUGAACACAGGGAACAAACAAUGCAUUAAAAAGUUCUUUGUUGCAAGAAAAAUGCAAGACAAACAAUAAAGUUCAUAAAAACAUAUACAUUUAUAAUUGUGUCUUCAUUACUAACAGUCCUGAGCAGUUGAAUUGCCAGUUAGUAUGAGGUUUUCAAAACAGGCCUAAAUAACAUUCCACCAUAAAAAUAACAUUCAUAUGUAACCACUGACAAAUUGCCACUUGGCUAAGUUAUCUUGUUUCUAAUUUUACAGGUGUUAGAUCUGGCUUGCUUCAGUCAGCUUCUUUGUCAGUCUCAUCACCUGUGAUUUCCAGUUAAAACUUUAUCACACUUAGAUGAUUGGAAAACAGUAUAGACAUGUGAGGAAAUGAUUCAACUUCUGUGACACGAGCAUUCCUUAAUAAUUACUAGAAAAAUCUCCUGAGGGAACAUAUUCACAAACAUCCAAU